This is an RNA transcript of Cucumis melo (muskmelon), 3624 nucleotides long. It is a transcript of the gene named protein yippee-like At5g53940, with no coding region annotated. The transcript has 6 exons. The record is from RefSeq and is a predicted model, not a curated record. Lineage: Eukaryota; Viridiplantae; Streptophyta; Magnoliopsida; Cucurbitales; Cucurbitaceae.
AGAAAAAGUCAGGAGGCCCAAAAUUGAACCCAUUCUCCGUUCAUCGGAACCGACGUCCAAUGGCCCAAAUCUUAUAGCUUCUUGUCAACGAUGGCGGUGAUCGUGUCCUUUUCGUACUGGAAGAUGGACGGAUUUAGGGACAAAAGGCGGUUUUCACUUUUCUCAAAUUUCAAGCCACUGACUGUGGCGUAAUCCUUCCCCGUUGAAGCUGAGGCGGAAGACGGGAGCUUAGAGGAGCGUGAAGUGACGGAAGAGUGCGAUGGGACGGGUUUUUGUCGUGGAAAGAGAAGGGAGGUCUUACAGAUGCAAAUACUGCAAUACGCAGUUAGCUCUCUUCGACGACCUUGCAUCUCGGGCCUUUCAUUGCCGCCGUGGAAAAGCAUACCUUUUCAAUAACGCGAUAAACAUUUCUUUUGGAGCAUUGGAAGAGAGGAUGAUGCUCUCAGGAUUGCACACUGUAGCAGACAUAUUUUGUUGCACAUGUGGACAAAUUGUCGGGUGGAAAUAUGAGGCAGCGCAUGAGAAGAGCCAAAAGUACAAAGAGGGGAAGUAUGUUCUUGAAAGGGGGAGGAUAGUUGACGACAUUGAAUUCUCGACUGGCUUCUUUAUAGACUCCCGAUCUAGUGUCAGUGAUAGCGAAGAAAAUUAGAGCGAGAUUUUAUCAUGUAGUAUACAGUAAAUCAUAAUAAUUACCAAAGGAUGAUGUUCGUGUUUGAAUAUAAUCGAACGAUGUCUGGACUAUGUAAAUGCAGAGUUAUCUAGUUGAGUUCGCCUCUAAGUCAUAUAAAGCUGCUGCAGGCUCCCAAACUAUGAUGUAAGUUUUUGGUCAUUGAUAUUAAUUGUUGAGACCCGAGCUUUCAGAAUGAUCAACAAAUGUAUUUUUCCUGUUUUCAGCUAACACGUGGAGGUGAAAAUAUGAACCUUAAUCCUUUUAGUUAAUGAUGUAUGCUUUAACCUAUUGAGUUGUUCUCAAGUUAAUAGAAUACUUGGUUUUUGAAAAACUUGUUUUAAAAUUUUGUUGAAAUUGACCAAAUUCUUGAACGGCAUAAGAGACCUUGACUAGACCAUCAUGAUUUGGCUUAGUUGUCAAUAAUGGCCACAUAUAUAAUAAAGGAUUUAGAGAUAAUGAGCUAAUGUAGUUGUCUACGUAAGAUUUAAUAUUCUAUGAGUUUGUUUGGUACUCAAAUGUUGUAGGGUUAGAAAGAUAGAGAACUUCACCUUAAACUGGGCCCCAUGAUUUUGGUUUGGUUCAAAUGCUGUAUGGAUAAAUAUGUUACCUUUUUCAUAUUUCUUAUAUCGAUAUAUUUGUAUAGGUUGUUUAAUGUGGUGGUUGCAUUAAAAUAUUAUGAUUGUUUUUUUACUGCUAUAUUUGUUAUAAUUAAUCUCUUGUAUAAUUUAAAACUGCACAUUUGGCAAAAGAUUGGUGGCUGUAUAAUUUUGAUGGAACAUUACAAUUUUAUCCAUUAAAAAGAAUGGUACAUGUAGUUUAGUUUAAGAAUACGUUGGAAUCAUUAAUGUAGAACACUUUACUGGUUGAGUUAUGGUCACGUUACAAGGUAGGUUAAUUAUUGAUUUUAUGAUUGUCAUAAAUUAGCAUGUGGAUCAAUUGUUAAUUAUUGUGCAAUAAUAACUCAUUAAAUUGCAUAAAUGCACUUAAAAUUGUUGAACUCUCAAUUUUCAAUCUUACAGGUUUUUGAAUUUCUUUUCCUUUCUUUUCUUAUGAAGUCACUCUUAUAUUUGAUAUUUUUUCUUAUGGAGUCGCUCUAUUUCUUUGUCCUAUUUACUCGUAUGGUUGUCCUACGAGCAUGAUUCUCCUACUAGCUGUCUUUGUCAAGGUCAUCUUUGUCUCCUAUCUCUUUUUCUUCUACAGAAGGCUUAUCAGUUGUCAAGUCAGUCAUGGAUUGAUAUUUGCCCGGCCUGAAUUUGCCCUCCUAUUGCUCAUCUUUCUUUGCUCAUGAAAGCCUUAUUUUUAAAGGUGUCUGGUCAAUAAUUAUUUUUUUCUUUUUCUUUCAAACAAAUUCUUAAUUUUACUAGAAAGCAGUCGGGAAAAGCGUGAAUAUAAAUUGUGUAUGGUUUUCUCUUUUAUUGUUCAGUCUGAUUAUCAGCCAAUUAUUCAAGUUAAUGCAGUGGGGUCUCUUUGUAUCUAUCUUGGGAUGUCGUUGAUCUUCUCCCGUUGUAAAUCUCAGGAUUUUCGGCAUAGCAAAGAACAAAUUUGGAAAUGUUUACAAGGUUGAAAAAGCCGUUUUUUUCUUGAUGGGAGGUAAGGAGGUGUUAAUUAAGAGUGUGGUUCAUGAAAUUCCUACGUUUGUGAUGGGUUGUUUCAGGUGCCUACAGGUUUUUGCAAGUAUAUUAUGUGUUUGUAUGCUUAACUGUGGUUGAGGCGAAAGGUCAAUAUGCAUUUGUUGUCUUGAGAUAAACUGUCUUCCUAUGAUGUGGGUGGAUUGAGUUGUAGGGAUUUGAGGUCUUUAACCAAGUUCUCCUCGCUAAACAAGUUUGGUGUUUUUAAGCAAGCUUGGUGUUUUUUAAACAAUCCUUGCUCUUCCUUGGUUGCUAAGGUGUUACUAGGGAGAUAUUUUCCUUCUAUUCUUUUGCAAACUAAGGUUUCUCAAAAUUGUUUGUUUUUUUGGAAAGGUUUUGUUUUGGGUAUUAAUUUGUUGAAAUUUGGACCUCGCACAAGCAUUGGUACUGGAGUAUCAACUCAUAUGUUUAGUGAUCCUUGAAUUCCAAGGCUUUCUGCUUUUCAUCCUAUUACACUGAAUCUAGUGCUUUAGAUCUCCUAGUGUUGGAUUUUAUAACCAUGUAAAGAUAGAGGGAUUUAGGUAAGUUUGAGCAAUUUUCAAUCUAUUGACUAUGAGGUUAUUUUUGGAAUCCUGCUUAGCCAAACUGUUCGAUGAAGGGUGGUUGUGGCACUUUGAUAAAUGAGGUUAUGCUUCUUUACAAAUGUUCCUCUACCUCUAGUGAGGAUGUUUAGGUCCGAUGGUGGAAAAGUUUAUGGAGCUCAAAAAGUCUCUUCAAGGUAUAAUGAUUUGUUUCGAAAGCUACUUGAAAUUUGUUGCCUACGUGUUUUAAUCUUUAUAUUCGGCACAUUGAGGUUCAGCCUUAUUAUAGGAAACAACGGAAGAUGCUUUCUUUGGUUGUUAUAGAGCCUAACAAAUUUGGUCUACCAUUUUUCCUUUUGGAAACAUUUGAUUCUUUUGAUUGUUUUCAGUGGGUUGAGUUGUUUAUUUCCUUUUAGCGUUCUGAUUUUGUUGUAGUUUGUAUUGGGCCUCGAGCCAUUUGCAGAAGUUGUAAUACAAUUUCUCAUAAUUUAUUGGUUCCAUCGAUGUCAUUUCGGAGUGUUUGGACUAGAGUAUGUUCACAGCUACUAUGGACAUUCCUCUUUUGUGGUGUUGGGCAACAAGAAUGAGUUUUCUUAGUCCUUUUGGUAAUCUUGGUCGUUUUGUUCUUUAUGUCGAUGCUUCUUGCUGGCCGGAUUUUGAUUCUAUAGACUUUAGAGGCAGGGGCGGAUUUAUUAAGGGCCAGCGGGGCACGUGCUCUCCUCACAUUAUCGAUUUUUGUAUUUUAAUAUUAAUUUUGAAGUGUCAGAUUAUAAUAUAUAUUAAAUAAUGCUUUAAUUUUUCAAAA